GAUGAACGCUGGCGGCAUGCCUAACACAUGCAAGUCGAUCGGUAAGGCUCUUCCGAGUACACGAGAGGCGGACGGCUGCGUAACGCGUAGGCACACAACCUGCAGUGAGGGAUAAGACACCGACAGGUGUUCUAAUACCGCAUACGGUCUUCGGCUUCAAGCAUUUAUGCGCUGAAGGAGUGGCCUGCGUCAUAUUAGAUAGUUGGUGAGGUAAUGCCUCACCAAGUCGAUGAUGUGUAGCUGGUCUGAGAGGAUGAUCAGCCAGACUGGAACUGAGACACGGUCCAGACUCCUACGGGAGGCAGCAGUGAGGAAUAUUUCACAAUGAACGAAAGCUUGAUGGAGCAAUGCCGCGUGCAGGAUGAAGGCCCUCGGGUUGUAAACUGCUUUUAUAAGAGAAGAUUAUGACGGUAACUUAUGAAUAAGGGACGGCUAACUACGUG
RNAcentral lists this ribosomal RNA (443 nucleotides) under uncultured bacterium. RNAcentral describes it as "partial 16S ribosomal RNA". It matches the Rfam family "Bacterial small subunit ribosomal RNA", at positions 28 to 507 of the family's 1533-position model. The record is from RNAcentral.